ACGAACGCUGGCGGCGUGCUUAACACAUGCAAGUCGAACGGUGAAGGGGUCUGCUUUUGUGGGCCCUGGAUGAGUGGCGAACGGGUGAGUAACACGUGAGUAACCUGCCCCCUUCUUCUGGAUAACCGCAUGAAAGUGUGGCUAAUACGGGAUAUUCUGGGUCUGUCGCAUGAUGGGUCUGGGAAAGAUUGCGCCUUUGGGUGUUUUUGGUGGGGGAUGGGCUCGCGGCCUAUCAGCUUGUUGGUGGGGUGAUGGCCUACCAAGGCGGUGACGGGUAGCCGGCCUGAGAGGGUGGACGGUCACACUGGGACUGAGACACGGCCCAGACUCCUACGGGAGGCAGCAGUGGGGAAUAUUGCACAAUGGGCGCAAGCCUGAUGCAGCGACGCCGCGUGAGGGAUGGAGGCCUUCGGGUUGUAAACCUCUUUCGCCAGUGAAGCAGGCCUGCUCCUUGUGGGUGGGUUGACGGUAGCUGGAUAAGAAGCGCCGGCUAACUACGCG
This 501-nucleotide ribosomal RNA is filed under the name uncultured bacterium. RNAcentral's name for it is "partial 16S ribosomal RNA". It matches the Rfam family "Bacterial small subunit ribosomal RNA", at positions 29 to 507 of the family's 1533-position model. The record is from RNAcentral.